This 83-nucleotide non-coding RNA is filed under the name Indolivaga capnocytophagoides. RNAcentral's name for it is "TPP riboswitch (THI element)". The stretch from base 3 to 73 matches the Rfam family "TPP riboswitch aptamer (THI element)", at positions 10 to 89 of the family's 105-position model. Rfam says of the family: Vitamin B(1) in its active form thiamin pyrophosphate (TPP) is an essential coenzyme that is synthesised by coupling of pyrimidine and thiazole moieties in bacteria. The previously detected thiamin-regulatory element, thi box was extended, resulting in a new, highly conserved RNA secondary structure, the THI element, which is widely distributed in eubacteria and also occurs in some archaea. The record is from RNAcentral. Lineage: Bacteria; Pseudomonadati; Bacteroidota; Bacteroidia; Bacteroidales; Dysgonomonadaceae.
UCUAGGGGUGUCUGCACAAGCAGGCUGAGAUUAUACCCAUAUAACCUGAUCCGGAUAAUGCCGGCGUAGGGAAAUAGAUAUGC